GGAGGGUUGGCAGAGUGGCCGAAUGCGGCGGACUUGAAAUCCGUUAGGGGGCAACCCCUCGGGGGUUCGAAUCCCUCACCCUCCGCCA
RNAcentral lists this transfer RNA (88 nucleotides) under Burkholderiaceae bacterium. RNAcentral's name for it is "tRNA-Ser". It matches the Rfam family "tRNA". From Rfam's summary of the family: Transfer RNA (tRNA) molecules are approximately 80 nucleotides in length. The record is from RNAcentral. Lineage: Bacteria; Pseudomonadati; Pseudomonadota; Betaproteobacteria; Burkholderiales; Burkholderiaceae.